This 253-nucleotide ribosomal RNA is filed under the name uncultured bacterium. Its description in RNAcentral is "partial 16S ribosomal RNA". It matches the Rfam family "Bacterial small subunit ribosomal RNA", at positions 524 to 776 of the family's 1533-position model. The record is from RNAcentral.
UACGGGGGGGGCAAGCGUUGUUCGGAAUUACUGGGCGUAAAGGGCUCGUAGGCGGCCAACUAAGUCGGACGUGAAAUCCCCAGGCUCAACCUGGGAACUGCGUCCGAUACUGGAUGGCUUGAAUCCGGGAGAGGGAUGCAGAAUUCCAGGUGUAGCGGUGAAAUGCGUAGAUAUCUGCAGGAACACCCGUGGCGAAAGCGGCGCGCUGGACCACUACUGACGCUGAGGAACGAAAGCUAGGGGAGCAAACAGG